RNAcentral lists this ribosomal RNA (446 nucleotides) under uncultured bacterium. RNAcentral's name for it is "partial 16S ribosomal RNA". It matches the Rfam family "Bacterial small subunit ribosomal RNA", at positions 29 to 507 of the family's 1533-position model. The record is from RNAcentral.
AACGAACGCUAUCGGUAUGCUUAACACAUGCAAGUCGGACGGACUAAUUAGGGCUUGCCCCAUUUAGUUAGUGGCACAGGGGUGUGAAACACGCGGGAAUCUCCCAACUAGUACGGAAUAAUUUUUAGAAAAAAACGCAAAUAACGUAUAUUCUUAACAGAGAAAAGAUUUAUCGAUGAUGGAUGAGCCCGCGUCAGAUUAGGAUGUUGGUGAGGUAACGGCUCACCAAGCCGACGAUCUGUAGCUGGUCUGAGAGGAUGAUCAGCCACACUGGGACUGAGACACGGCCCAGACUCCUACGGAAGGCAGCAGUGGGGAAUAUUGGACAGUGGGCGAAGGCCUGAUCCAGCAAUACCGGGUGAGUGAUAAAGGCCCGAGGGUUGUAAAGCUCUUUUAGCAAUGAAGAUAUGACGUUACUUGCAGAAAAAGCCCCGGCUAACUCCGUG